GAGGAGAUCCAGCCACACUGGAACUGAGACACGGUCCAGACUCCUACGGGAGGCAGCAGUGGGGAAUAUUGCACAAUGGGCGCAAGCCUGAUGCAGCCAUGCCGCGUGUAUGAAGAAGGCCUUCGGGUUGUAAAGUACUUUCAGCGAGGAGGAAGGCAU
RNAcentral lists this ribosomal RNA (159 nucleotides) under Citrobacter europaeus. RNAcentral describes it as "partial 16S ribosomal RNA". It matches the Rfam family "Bacterial small subunit ribosomal RNA", at positions 296 to 454 of the family's 1533-position model. The record is from RNAcentral. Lineage: Bacteria; Pseudomonadati; Pseudomonadota; Gammaproteobacteria; Enterobacterales; Enterobacteriaceae.